RNAcentral lists this ribosomal RNA (431 nucleotides) under uncultured bacterium. RNAcentral describes it as "partial 16S ribosomal RNA". It matches the Rfam family "Bacterial small subunit ribosomal RNA", at positions 29 to 507 of the family's 1533-position model. The record is from RNAcentral.
AACGAACGCUGGCGGCAUGCCUAACACAUGCAAGUCGAACGAGACCUUCGGGUCUAGUGGCGCACGGGUGCGUAACGCGUGGGAACCUGCCCUUAGGUUCGGAAUAACUCCCCGAAAGGGGUGCUAAUACCGGAUAAUGUCUUCGGACCAAAGAUUUAUCGCCUUUGGAUGGGCCCGCGUUGGAUUAGCUAGUUGGUAGGGUAAAAGCCUACCAAGGCGACGAUCCAUAGCUGGUCUGAGAGGAUGAUCAGCCACACUGGGACUGACACGGCCCAGACUCCUACGGGAGGCAGCAGUGGGGAAUAUUGGACAAUGGGCGAAAGCCUGAUCCAGCAAUGCCGCGUGAGUGAUGAAGGCCUUAGGGUUGUAAAGCUCUUUUACCCGGGAUGAUAAUGACAGUACCGGGAGAAUAAGCUCCGGCUAACUCCGUG